AGAGCGCCAGACUGGGCAGAGCUGCGCUGCGCCCGCCCUUCUCCAGCUCUCGCUUCCGGCAGGGGGCCAAGAUAAUAUAUACCCCGGGGCCCUGCAUACCCCGGGGGCCCUCUCCAGCUGCGCGCCUAGAGCUCUGGACUUGGGGUGGGUGGUUUCAAAGAGUAUCUCUUCCAGCGGCGGAAAUGGGAAGUGAAGGGGAGUCAAGGUCGGCAGCGCUGCAGCUGCAAAAUGGGGGCUAAGUGCUUCAGGGACUGAGCGCAGCCUCGGAGACGUCGGGGAGCCGCUCGCACCGCCUGGGCGCAGCGCGGGCGCAGCCGAGUCCGAGGUGCCCACCUUGCAAGCCGCUGCCGACGCCGCUCAGGCGCGGGGCUGAGCACCCAGCUCGCAGCUCCCUCGGACCCUUCGCCGCCCCGCGCGGCGGCAGCCCCCGCCUGGCUCUCCUCGCAGCGGCCGGAGGAAAGUUCUCGCUGCCCGCCUCCGCUCUGCUUCCGUGCCGCGCAGCCCCGCACAGCCCGCCUCUGUCCGGAGAGGGGCUCAGGCCGCCCGAUCUGCCCGGACCACCCGGUCGGCCCCGCCCCCACCCCGCCCGCGAAUCGGCCGCCCCCGCCCUCUCGGCCCCGCCCCCACACCACAGCCCGAGCUCGCUCCUGCGCGUGCGCUCUCCCGGACCCGAGUGAAUAGUCCUCGCGGGGGUGGGACACUGAGGGUCUCACUGUGCAGUUCAGGCUGGCCUUGAGAUUACUUUGUAGCCUGGGCUGGUCUCCAACUCACAGCGAUCCUCCUGCCACAGCCUCCUGAGUGCUGGGAUUACAGGCGUGAGCCACCAUGCCCGUUGUAUUGCUUGAUACAACUACUGUGCUGGGUGAACUAGGAUGGAAGACGUAUCCAAUAAAUGGGGUGAGUUUACGUAUGUUAAAAAUGAAAAAGGCAAAAAAAAAUUCUCAUCCUCAUCAGGUUUUAGGGACUUGGGAUAAAUGAAAAAACAGAUUUUUGGUACUCUUUUAUAUCCUUUUUGGUAUAAAGUUUAAAAUCAUGUGAAAAGAUUAAACUAUAAAUGACAAGUUGAUGGCACUUAUAUGUAAACAUUCUGUUUUCUUCUAUAUUACAGUAACUGUUGUGUUUUACACAUAGUAAUGUUAGAAUUCUGCUUAUACAAAUUUUCCUCAGAAAUAAAUUUUGAUAUGUAAUAUCAGGACAUUUUUCUUUAUAAAUGUUACAUAUGGUAAUUAUGAAUUUGGAAAAAUAAAACUAAGUUUUAUAAGCAGAUUGUAAAAAUAUUAACAAUUUGGAUUUUAAUACAUUAGGACUCUACUAAAAUAGUAUUUUAAUUUGGCAGAAAGAUACUUCGUGCUUAGGUUUUUGUUAACUGGAAAUAGUUGCUUUUGAAAGCUUACAAAAAUGUAUAAUUUUUGUAAUACUGUUUUCCAGAAAGUAACAUCUUACCUAUGAUAGUACUUGAAUUAUGUUUUAUCUUUUCUGCAGCUUUUCAUAAUACUUUUUUAUAUCAACCUAAAAUGAAAGAGCUCUUUUGAAGAUUUUUAGUUUUUUUUUUUCUAUUUAAAAAAAUAUUCAGUGAUAAAAACAGAUGUUUUCUGCUACAUCUCUUUUAACUUUUUCUCUUGGAAAUUGUAUUUUCGUAUCAUAUUCUUUGUUGAUAUUAUUUACCUUGUUUCUUGUAGUAUAUCUCCAAAUUUAAAUCUGGAAAUUAAAUAUAAUUUUAAUUUUUUAUCAUCUUACUAAAAUGUUGUUUGAAUUUAAUAUUUUAACCAAAAGUUAUUCAUUAAAUGUGCAUUUUUAAAAAUCCUAUGAAGAGUUGAAUCUUCCUCUCUUUAACACCUUAUUUGCUUUAGAUUUAUUUUAUAUUCUGUGAUUUUAUUAUUUUUUAUUUUCUUUUUUCUAGUAGAUAGUCCAUUAAACUACCUCUGAAAAAUAACCUUUUAAUGUAAGAUGUGAUUUUUUCCUUUUUUAAUGAAAAUUAGUAACCACCAAUAUGUAGUGUUUGUCAUUAAGAAGUUAAUGAAUCUUUUAUGUGGUAUACUCUUUCAUUAUCUAUAUAACUUGAAAAAAUAUGUAUUUAUAUAUAUUCUCAGUAAACAAAACAAUUUCUAAGUUCUUAACCAAUAAGUAGAUAGUUCAGAACUCCUAUUUUUUGUUUACUAUAAAUAGAUAAAAUUUUACCACUGGCUUCAUAGUAUCAUAGAUAAAAAUCAUUUGUGGGGGAAAAAGCUUUUGAUCUUCUCUGCUAAUUAUGUGCAUGUUGAUUAAGCUUUAUUUCAGAGAAAACUGGUAGCCAGGAGAGGCAUAGACUUACAGCCACAGGUGAGAUUGCCGCUGUCAGUUUGAUUUUUUUCCUAAACUACUUUUAAUGUGUUAUGGAGAGAUAGGGCAGAAUUGUUUGAGGAAGUGUUGCUUACGCUACAGUUUUCUGUUUGAUAGACAUAGUCCCUAACAUUUCACAUUUUAUCUUUAGCAAUGGUCCUUUGAAUUAUGCCUUACUUCUGUUUCUCCAGUGGAGAAUCCCAGUUAUAAAAAAAAAUAACAUAAAAUACCAACAGAUAUUUGGUGUUUUAUAAUAACAAUAGCUAAGUAGUGAAUAAUAAAUUCUCAUGCUAAGAUAAUUCUGACUCAUGUGGGAGUACUUUUCACUUUUGUGUUAUAUUUGACUAAUUUAGAUUUUUCCCAUUGAUAAUUUUAAUGGUAGUAUAAAAUACACAGUUUGGGCACUGCAUGUUAAUAUUACCAGAAGGAAAAGGAGGACUACAGGAAAGAGAAGACUGUAUUAGAAAAUAAAUGACAAAGUAAAGGAAAGUGUGAUCAAAAUUUAUUAUUUAUCACAUACUAGACUUUGCUUCAAACAUUUUACUCACAUUAGUCCUAUAUAUCAAGUGUAACUUAUCCUAAUUUAUAGAUGCAAAAUUUAAACUCAGAUAUGUUAAAUAAUUUUUGCAAGGUCACAGAGCUAGGAAAUAGUACAACAAAAACCCUUAGAGAGACGUGCCCUAAUCUGGAACACUUAUGGAUGGUUAUUUCACAGCAAGUUAUUUUUUACUUUUUCUAAGAUUCUGCUCUGUAAGAAUAAAGAUUGAUGACCUGUGAAAUCAAAUUAUGGAGGGGGGAACUAACACAUGAAUUCAAACAUUAAAAAGUAGGUUAAAUACAUAAUUAAAUUGAAAUAUUAUGGAUAAUAUGAGCUAUAUUACUUCUAGAUUAUCCCCAAGAAACAUAUAUGGAAAUUGUUAACAGUAGGAAUAUUUGAAAACUGGAGAACAUGGACUAAUUUUAUAACAUAUGUAGAUGAGGCAGUAUAACCUAAUCCUAACCUUAAAUAAAAGGGAAUAGAGAGAAAUAGUAUUUAAGUUAUUAUUUGUAAUGAAGAAAAUUAACUAUUUAAUGGAGUUUUCCUUCAUGCUACCUACAGACUAAAACAAGCAAGGAAAUAAUCACUAAGAAGGAACUUUAAAAGAAACUACUAAAAUGCAAAAGUUAAAAUAAUCUAGAUAUAAAAGAUUAAAUAACUUAAAAGUCCAUGGGGCCCAUAUAUCAGUUUAUAAUAUUUAAACUAUUAUUGAGACACACUUUAAAAUUUUUUCAUUAAAUGUAUUUGAAGUAGCAUAUAAUUUUAAAAUUCCCUUUCAUUGACCCAUGCUAAUUUAAGUGGCCAUUUUUAACUAUUUUAGACACAACUUCAGUUGGAUUUAUGAAUAUCUUGUGAGUGACAAAACUAUAGAAUCAUAGUAGAGAAUUUGUAGUGUAAAGUUUAUCUCAUGUUUCUGUGAAAAUGUGUUUUCUAGGAGUAUUUUAGUUGGAAAUAUUGUCUUAAUGUAAAGACUAAAACUAUUUGUACAGACCUAUAAAGCACUACGUAAAACAUAGGAAAUUAAUUCAUAUUUCCAUAGGUCAGUCUGUGUCCCUCUACCUUUCUCUCUGCUCUCCAUUUAAAGUAGCCAUUUGGACAGUGGUAUCCUGCCAUUGGAGUUAUUUGGGUAGAUAUUCAGAGCAUGCCUGUGAACAAAAUCAUCCCUGGCUAUUUUAUUAGGAGUUGAGCCACUCUUUUUAGUAAAUUUGGAAAAUAAUCCUGAGCAAAUAGCAUAACUUUAGGUUUCAAAAGUGAAAACAGAAUAUAAUAAUUUUCUGAAACAUUUUCUUGUGUCACCAAUUACUAAAUAAUUCAUUUUAAAAAGUAUUUCCUAGAACUUAAUUUAGCCAAGUUGUAUAUUAUGUUACUUUGUGCCAUAUGCCCUGUUAGUAGACUUAUAAGAGAUAUUCUAGCCUAAAACAUUCUUGGUUUUUAGCAAUCAGACUACACAACAGAAAGUGUCCUCAUGUAGUUUUUUGUAAUUUUUUGUGAAAGAAUAUUAAGAGGAAGAGUUAAUUAUGGUGAUAGAAAAUUGAGAGUGAGGAGAAAAAUAGUCACCUCCUUUUUAUAAACUCUGCAACACAUCUGGAAAAGAGCCACCUUUUCAGGGAAACGGAAUGGCUGGCUCAAAGGUAUGAAAAUAUGAAAUGUGCACUCUUUAUGUGCAUUAUUUGUGACUCCUGUACAUCAGUUCUUACAGAAUUCUUAGUGAACAGAAAGCUUUAGUAAUGCUGAGAGUCAUUUGUCUGGCCAGAAUGCGAGGAUCUGGUAAAAAAUUAGGCUGUGAUCAUGGGCAAAAUUAUGCAGUGAAAGAAUUUUAAUAUCUUAGUUGAUCUAAAUACUACAUUUCUCAGAUCCAACAAGUAAGAGUAAAAAAUUAAAAAAAAUAACCUUACUGGAUAUUGCAAAAAUUACUGAAGUACUGUAUCCUUUUGUUUAAUACAGUAAUUUAGGCUCUCAGAAAUGAAUGACCCUCUUGGAAAUUGGAAAGAAAAGGUGCUCAAAAUACAGAUCACAUGACAUUGCUGAUAUUGGGAAUGAAGUAAAACUGACUAAUUUCUGAAGAUUAUGGUUGAAGCUUAGUUUUAUAAGAGAUAAAUACAUCAGGGAAUUUAGGAACUACUGUUCCUUAAAUUUUCACACUGUAUUCUCUUUUGCUUUUUGUUUUUGUUUUCUGCCACCUUUUUUUCUCUUAAAUAAAAAAAAGAAUUCUGUGUUGAAUAUUUCAAAAAUACUUACAAACUCCAGCAAAGUAAUAUGAUAAAAAACAAAAGAAUGUGCAUAAAUAAAUUUUUUCUUUAUAACACAAUAGGUGUUCUAAAUUAAUACUGAAGCAUUUUUACGUCCAUUAAAUAUAGGUGAAUGCUUUGUGUUUGUGUUUACUAUGAAGAACUAAUCCUAAAUUUUACUCUAGUAAAUCCCAAAUCUUACUCUUGUAAACCCUAAAUCUUACUCUAGUAAAUCGUAAAUCUUACUCUGAAAAAUUUCAAGGACUAGCUUUAGUUCUUUAAGACUUCUAAAAAUGAGAUGAUUUUAAUGCUAAUUAAACGAAAACACAGAGACACACAGAUCCAGUGUAUGCAGUAACAUUGUAUAGAAUAAGAAAUUGAAGAAUAUAUAUCCUUAAAUUAUUCUUCUGUUCUUAAAAUAAAUAAUAUGUGUUUUAAAACAUUAACUCUUGUGUCUAUUCUUUUCUUUUUGAUUUUUUUACUUAUUUGAUUUAGUUUUAGCCAUUGUAGAACAUUAUAAAGGAUAAAUUAUAGUAAUAGCAACAGGAUCUGUAGUUAAGAAUAAUAUUCGAAAUCCUUAAUAACCAUUACAGAUUAUGCCCCACUUUAUGUCACACAACAGUGAGUAUCUCAUAUUGGAGUACUGUGGCUAUUAACUUGAACUGGUAGUAAGCAGUUGCUCUGAACCAGAGAAAUAGAAGGCUUUUUACAGUAUAGACAGGAAUUUUAUAAUUAAAACUCUAUUUUCUUUUCUUUGAGCUUCAGUAAUUAUGUUUGAUAACUUUUAAAAUUUAAUAGCUAUGUGGUUUUAUUUAAAAAUUUGGUACUGUAAUUAAAAAGAUAAGUGGCUUUUUAAAAAUAGCCAUAUACUGGUUAUUAGGGAUAAUUAUAAUUGAAUAAAAUCUGAUAAUUACUAUAUAUCAUUUCAUAAUAAUUUUUUGGAUACUGUUUAAUUUAUACCUAAAAUUACAUAUAAUACUAUGCUUAUUAUUGACAGAACUUGAUUUUUUUUUAAAAUUUUAUUUAAGGAGAAAAGAAAAAAAAAGCAGGGAAAGGGUACAAGUUAUACAGAUUUACAGAAAAAAAUGAACAGUAGGAAAUCACUAGUUAAUGGAUUACAUAUUGUCAUCUUAGAAAUAAUUGUUCAAGUCACAAAAUUAAAGCUUGUAAAGUGGACAUUCCAUCAAUGAUACUGCAAACAGUUCUGUUCAUUGAGCCAAUAAAACUCUGUGAUAUCAUUUUCUAUCUUAUACACUUAAAUAUACAUGCAGUUAUAUAGUUUGGAGCACUUUCUUUUCCUCUCUUUUGUACCAUGACUAUUACACAUUUUGGGUUUCAUUGCUCCCAUGGUUCUUAUUACUUUUUUGGAAGAGAGUAAAACCAAAUGUGACAUAACAGAACAGAAUCGGUCAAGUCAAAAGGGUGGACAUAAUAGAUAAUGUAAAAACAUAAUACAAGGUGAUCAACAAUGGUUACCAUAAUGCCUCCUGCUAUCUCUAAUAGAAUUGCCUAUAUCGUUAGUUAUAAUACAAUUGAACAAAACAGUAAAGAAUAAAACCGACAAAACCAAAACAUUGGAGACAUUGUAGGUCUUCAAAAGUAGAUAAAAGUCAACAAGAAUGGGCGUCAUAAUGAAUCUCAUUAUCUUCACAGCUGAUGCCUAAACUUUCGAACCUGAUACUAUCCAGCAAAACAGAAUAGGGGAACAUCAGUUAAAAACCAGAUGGUGAGAGUAAUACAGGGCUUUAAAUCAAGGUAAUGAAAAGUCAAAGUGGGUUACUAUAAUAUAUCCUGCUAUUUUUUUCCUUUAAUUAAAAGGAUAAAGAUAAAAAAGUAAAUAAUGGAGUGGAGAUUGAGAUAAAAGAGGGCAUAACAAUGAAACAGUGCAGAUCAAAACAUAACCAUUUAAACAGAAUAGUGUUUCACCACCAGAUAAUCCUAACCUAAAAGUAGUUACCAUAUUGUCUCUUUCUUUGAAAUCCUUGAGUACAACUUCGUAUACUGUAGCAUUAAGUAUAUCAAAACUAUGUAAAACCAUUCAAGAGAAUGACAGCAUUACAGAGUAUUUAGAAUCGACUAACAGAAAAUGAACAAUGGUUUCUAUAUAAUCUCCUUGUCUUUAAAAGGUUUUUGCUUAUACUAUCGUACAUAAUAAAAUCCAAUAAGAUACAGCCUAUUUAGACCAUUGGAGACAGAAGGACAAAAGCUAGAUGAGACUUCAAAACAAAAUGAUACUAAAUCAGUAUUACCUAUUAAGAUGUCAUUUUCUCCAAAAUAGCUGUUCCUGUGGGAAGCCGCCUAUGAAUGGCGCCCAUUUCCUGCUUCCGGGUUCUUCCCGGCCUGAACAAGCCCGCCAAAUUGUCAUAUCUGCCCAGUUACCCGUGACGCUAGCCUAUCAGCUUGUUAGGCGCGCUUCUCUGUGAUUGGAUACUGCUUCCCCUUAUAAGAGGUUGUUCCUGCCCCCAACGGCGGAAGAGGAACCAACGUUGAGGGUGGCGGACCUUGUUAGGUCCGGUUCGCUGUACGUAAUAAAGUUUGAGAGCUGAUCCUGCUCGAGUUUGGCCUCCUGUCUUCCGCGGCUCCGGUCAUCUGGUGGCCCGUUCGGGAAAAAAGGUAAAAGACUCAGCGACGUGCCUCUUUGGCCGGGAGGUGCGAUUGCUGUCGCCUGCGGUACGACGGAGGACCUGGCCCAAUAACAACGGAAGGCCGCGAGCACCUCUUCUCUUCACCCUGAUCAGCUACGUGAGAUACAGCGGUUCCCGGGACAGGUGAGUACUGGGUCACCUGGGUUGGGUGGACGCACCUAACAGAUUUUGAGCGCCACACGAGUGGACGCCGGUUUUUUUUUUUUCUUUUCUUUUCCCUUUGCAUCUGUUUUGCUUUCGCUUCGCUAAUACAGCCCGACAGGCUUUUGAUAGAGCUCGAUCGGAAUGCUCAGAGGAGCCCGGAGCCACUGCCGAUUGUGGGUCUCCGGAGGACCCUCAGGGCUCUAAUUCUGAUUCUGAUUCGGAAGGUUCAGAAGAGGAGGUUGUCUUCGCUAAACAGGACCCUCCUGCACAGCUUAAAGAGGAAUUCAGGGCUCGGGAAGAUAAAAAGGGGAACCAAACACCCACGAUCACCCCCUUCAGGGCGCCAGGCCCCACUAAGCCCUUCCGCCCUUUGGCAAGUUCGCGACCCAUGGUCGCUCCCUUCAGGGCGCCAGGCCCCACUGCACCGCCGUGGCCGGAAGAGGAGUUGCUCCCUGGGCUGCCACCACAACCUAUGGCACCGCCCUGGUUAGAGGGAGAGCUACUUCCUGGGUUGCCUUCUGCGCCCCCAUCUGGGGAGGGAGGAGGACGUUCCUUCCACCAGAGGGUAUGGUCGCGGCUUCCCUUUGAGUGUUCCGGUCUCCAUGCAUUCCCGGUACAAGUAGGAGGCAGGGGAGGAGGAGGAUAUUAUGAGCCCUUAGAAAUUAAACAACUUAAAGCUAUCAAGGACGCAGUUUCAGCUUAUGGGCCCAAUGCGCCAUUUACCAUGGCGCUUUUAGAGGCAAGAACCUGGAGAAAGGGCCACCCAUGCUAUUAAUCAUUGUCUUGCAGCCUGGGCUGCUUGGGGAAAGCCCAAUAUAUUAAAAACAGACAAUGGUCCUGCUUACACCAGCAAAACUUUUGUAACAUUCUGUCAACAAAUGGAUGUUGUCCUUAAGCACGGCAUUCCAUAUAACCCUCAAGGACAAGGCAUCAUUGAACGGGCACAUCGGACACUCAAGGGUGUCUUACAAAAGCAAAAAGAGGGGAUAGGCCAUGGCCUAACGCCCAAAGGAAGAAUAUCAUUGGCACUCUUUACCAUAAUCAUUCCCCUGCCAUGGAACAUAGCAAUCCGUCCCCAACCGACAAAGGGCUGGUUAGAUGGAAAGAUGUCCUUACAGGACAAUGGAUGGGCCCGGAUCCAGUGAUUAGCUGGACCCGAGGUGCGGUUUGUGUCUUCCCACAGGAACCAGGCUGCGAACCGCUGUGGGUCCCGGAAAGAUUGACGCGAGCAGUAAACUCCCCACCAGUUCCUGAUAAAGCACAGGAGGAUAAGCCCGCGGACACAAGUCAACUCGACCCUUCUGGGAUCGACGCUCAGCGCCCGAGACCAUCUACAAACUAAAAUGUCUGGUUUGGAGCUUUUUCUAUUCUGUGGGUUCCUAUUAAUCACCCCUGUGAUAUGCUCAGAUUCCACAGAACCACCACAAUAUCUUUGGGGUCCUUGGCACCACCCGCCCACAUUGGCACCUUUUUCGGCGGCCUCGCCCGCCUCACCCAGGGUUUACACCAUCAAUCAAACAGUCCUUGACCCUCCAUUUCUCUUCCUUCUGUCCCACGAUUACCUCUUUUUGGAUCCUAAUUGCCAUGGCUAUCCUAGUAGGGCUUGUGGUUAUUAAAUGCUUGUUAGAUCGCCUCAUACAAACUCAGCAGCAGGUUAAGAUCACAGCUAUGGCAGCCAUGCAAAUGGCAGCAGGUGGCCCAUCAGGCCAGCAGGCCGCUGCAUAUCUCCUUCACAUUGCAGAACAUCAGUUAUAAAAGCUGAGUGGGCAAGCCAAUGACGGGUAAGACGGGAGACGUCCUCCCAGUCAACCUAAGACAGGCUCCACUCAGAUAUACAUGGCCUAUAAGGCCAGGGGUCCCUCCCGGAGUCAAAUUAUUGGCAUUGAGAUGCGAGACCAAGGGUACUGCAGUGCCAUCCGCCCCAAAGGUUGGGGGGAAGGCAGGAAUGAAUGUCUAUAUGCAUCCAGGUUCGGUUCACAAAAGCCUGGCCCUGCGAAAAAAUGAACCACUCACCUUGAGCAUGGUCCUGGCGCAAGGAUAUGCACAAAACAGGGUGAUGCACAGCAGGGUAUAGACCUCUACAUUCUCUCAUGCCUCGGCCUACAAGGUAGGCCCACUCCUAGGUGUCUAACAGCAACAAGGUCAUAGACACCUUGGAGGGACCCACAGACCAUCCUAUUUUAAUAAAUAAAAAAGGGGGAGAUGUGGGAAGCCGCCUAUGAAUGGCGCCCAUUUCCUGCUUCCGGGUUCUUCCCGGCCUGAACAAGCCCGCCAAAUUGUCAUAUCUGCCCAGUUACCCGUGACGCUAGCCUAUCAGCUUGUUAGGCGCGCUUCUCUGUGAUUGGAUACUGCUUCCCCUUAUAAGAGGUUGUUCCUGCCCCCAACGGCGGAAGAGGAACCAACGUUGAGGGUGGCGGACCUUGUUAGGUCCGGUUCGCUGUACGUAAUAAAGUUUGAGAGCUGA
Molecule: long non-coding RNA, 10338 nt
Organism: Cavia porcellus (domestic guinea pig)
Lineage: Eukaryota; Metazoa; Chordata; Mammalia; Rodentia; Caviidae
Exons: 3
Source: RefSeq, a predicted model, not a curated record